This is a non-coding RNA of Acanthosepion pharaonis, 111 nucleotides long. Lineage: Eukaryota; Metazoa; Mollusca; Cephalopoda; Sepiida; Sepiidae. The record is from the annotation of a GenBank genome assembly.
ACAGCUAUAUCAUGUUGAAACUCCAGUUCUUGUAUGAUCACUGAAGUUAAGCAACAUUGAGCCUGGUCAGUAUCUAGAUGAGUGACUGCUAGGGAAUACCAGGUGCUGUAA